GUGUUAAACUAAGUUUUGGAAAACUAUCUAGUGUGCCAUGGUCAUAUCCUUUAUGCCCAGUUAAGGACUCUAAGGUGGCUAGUUAAGUACUGACUUGGGGGGUUAAUGCAUCAUAUUUCUAUUUCGUCGCUCAUACGAUGUGCAAUAGUAUGAGUACCAUUCAUUUGAGUGGUAAUGUAUGGAUCAAUUUUUCCUCUACGCCACGGUAAGUGGGAGCUGUGAGAGCAUGAUCGGAUACACUGCCGGUCUAGGGGAGUGUUGUUAGGUGCUGUGUCAUGCACCCAUGUUUUGGUGUGCCUUGGAAACAGUACCGCAUGUUGGGAGUUCCGUCCUGAGAGGCGAUGCCGUCAUUAGGGCGAUGAUGUGGGUAGUAACACCUCACAUGCAUGGACGGGUGUCAGUGUAUGUGAAGUGCAUAGUUUUAAAUUUUUUUUUUUGCAUUAGCAUACUGUGGGUGGGCUGAAAUGAGUUUUCUGCAGGUACCCUAACCACGUUCUCGCUUAGAACGCUAGUUACGUUAUGAGAGAACGUUGUGUGCCACCGCAUAUACCGCUUAGUGUUAACCCUUAUUUCUAAGUUUGUGAGAUCGUAAGUUCGUGCAUGCAUCAUGUUCAUGUCAUAUCAUUGCUUACUUUCCCCCUUAAUUUAAUCUAUCCCAAUUCUAAAUAAAGUAAUUAAAGAUAAUCCUUACUCUUACCCACGGUAUUCCAUUUGC
This 715-nucleotide long non-coding RNA is filed under the name Sorghum bicolor (sorghum). RNAcentral's name for it is "long non-coding RNA (SBIC_LNC012406)". Lineage: Eukaryota; Viridiplantae; Streptophyta; Magnoliopsida; Poales; Poaceae. The record is from RNAcentral.